AGGAGGUUGGCUUAGAAGCAGCCAUCCUUUAAAGAAAGCGUAAUAGCUCACUAGUCGAGUCGGCCUGCGCGGAAGAUGUAACGGGGCUCAAACCAUACACCGAAGCUACGGGUAUCACGUAAGUGAUGCGGUAGAGGAGCGUUCUGUAAGCCUGUGAAGGUGAGUUGAGAAGCUUGCUGGAGGUAUCAGAAGUGCGAAUGCUGACGUGAGUAACGACAAUGCGAGUGAAAAACUCGCACGCUGAAAGACCAAGGGUUCCAGUCCAACGUUAAUCGGGGCUGGGUGAGUCGACCCCUAAGGCGAGGCCGAGAGGCGUAGUCGAUGGGAAAUUGGUUAAUAUUCCAAUACUUCUGUGUAAUGCGAUGAGAGGACGGAGAAGGUUAAGUCAGCCUGGCGUUGGUUGUCCAGGUGGAAGGUUGUAGGCAUGUAUCUUAGGCAAAUCCGGGGUAC
Molecule: ribosomal RNA, 450 nt
Filed under: Chaetoceros affinis
Lineage: Eukaryota; Bacillariophyta; Thalassiosirophyceae; Chaetocerotales; Chaetocerotaceae
Description: partial Bacterial large subunit ribosomal RNA
Rfam family: Bacterial large subunit ribosomal RNA
Source: RNAcentral